CAGUCGCCGCGGUAAUACAGAGGGUGCGAGCGUUAAUCGGAUUUACUGGGCGUAAAGCGUGAGUAGGCGGCUUCUUAAGUCGGAUGUGAAAUCCCUGAGCUUAACUUAGGAAUUGCAUUCGAUACUGGGAAGCUAGAGUAUGGGAGAGGAUGGUAGAAUUCCAGGUGUAGCGGUGAAAUGCGUAGAGAUCUGGAGGAAUACCGAUGGCGAAGGCAGCCAUCUGGCCUAAUACUGACGCUGAGGUACGAAAGCAUGGGGAGCAAACAGGAUUAGAUACCCCCGUAGUCCCUGUCUCUUAUAC
This 301-nucleotide ribosomal RNA is filed under the name uncultured bacterium. RNAcentral describes it as "partial 16S ribosomal RNA". It matches the Rfam family "Bacterial small subunit ribosomal RNA", at positions 509 to 807 of the family's 1533-position model. The record is from RNAcentral.